This 1577-nucleotide long non-coding RNA is filed under the name Brassica napus (rape). Its description in RNAcentral is "long non-coding RNA (BNAP_LNC012582)". Lineage: Eukaryota; Viridiplantae; Streptophyta; Magnoliopsida; Brassicales; Brassicaceae. The record is from RNAcentral.
UAAAAAAGAUUGAUAGAGGAGUGAGGAGACAUUUUCAUGAUGAUAUAACUGUGAUUGUCGUGUUUCUUGAUUCACAUCUCGUCAGUAAAAGUGUCUCACGACGACCACUCAUCUCUAUCUCAGGCGGUGGUGACUUGGCUGGUGGACCUUCUACCACUUGACAGUUGACACACUCUCACCACAAUCUAUAAAUAUUCUAUAUUUACAUAUCCACUUUUUAUAUAUAACACAUUGCAGAGAAACACUUCAAGCUCCUUUUUUCUUUAUAUAAAUUUCAUUUUAAUUCAUUUCCAAACAAAAUGAUGAGUUGAAACACAAAUGUACGAUAAAGAGAUUUAUCAUUUGUUGGAAAGAUUUGAUUUACUGAUUGCAUCGUCUUCCAUUUUUUUGCUUCUGUUGUCUUUUAUUACGUAUCAACAUGAACAUGAAUGAAUAUGUGUUCAUGUUGAUAUAUUGUUAAAUGCUGUGUGUUUACGAAUUGUUUAGUACUGAUGAAGGAUAUUAUCGAAAAUGAAUAAAACCAUACAUAUAAGAAAACAGAGAAAGACAGCUCCAUGAAAACGGAUCUUGUCACCUUGGCAUGUGAUGGCCGUUGAAUAAUGUCAUAACCAAGACAACGCGAAUGAGGAGUUAUAGGUCAUAAAUGCUGGAAAAGCUCUGAUAAAUACUACUUAGUAUUCUCUCAUCCAGGUUAUAUGUGAAACAGUUGAUAAAAAAAAUAGUUCCACGUAAAUAUUAUCAUAAGAGCUAAUCAAAUCAAUGGUAACAGGGCAGGGUGGUCCGGAGUAUGGGCAAAGGAACCGAACGCUUAGGACAUCAUAAUUUUAGUUGUAAAUAGGGCAUUUUAAAAAAUUUGCAUGAAUAAUAAGGGCGUAAAAUUUGAAAUGAGCACAGGGCAUUAAAAAAAUGAAAAUGUUGGAGUGCCCACUGAGGGAGAUGCUUAAAUGGCUUCUGUAUGACCGACCACAUGAAUCACAUGUAGAGUAUUUAUAGAGGCCCAGCUUUGUGGAAAAUUUGUUUUAUUAAGUGUUAUCUCUAAUCACCGGUACAUUAUCCCACUAUAUAAAAAGGGCUAUUUUUAAGCGUCCUAAGGCUAUCCACACGCUCAAAAUAAUCAGGGCCAAUCAAAUUGCUACGUCACUGCCAGAUUGGGCUUGAAAUUUUUUUUAAAAAAAUUAUAUGAAUCCAGUUUGGCCCAUCUCGAAGCCCGAGCAUAUUCCCGUGUUCAUUUUGUUCCUAACCCUAAGCGCCGUCUCAUUCUGUUCUACACAUCUCUCUCCUUCAACAUCUAACCUUAUCGCCUCCUCAUUCCUUCGUUGAUUCUCUUCCUUGUGAUUGUCGUGUUUCUUGAUUCACAUCUCGUCAGUAAAAGUGUCUCACGACGACCACUCAUCUCUAUCUCAGGCGGUGGUGACUUGGCUGGUGGACCUUCUACCACUUGACAGUUGACACACUCUCACCACAAUCUAUAAAUAUUCUAUAUUUACAUAUCCACUUUUUAUAUAUAACACAUUGCAGAGAAACACUUCAAGCUCCUUUUUUCUUUAUAUAAAUUUCAUUUUAAUUCAUUUCCAAAC